RNAcentral lists this unclassified non-coding RNA (1072 nucleotides) under Hevea brasiliensis (rubber tree). Lineage: Eukaryota; Viridiplantae; Streptophyta; Magnoliopsida; Malpighiales; Euphorbiaceae. The record is from RNAcentral.
GAACCCACAGCUACAAAAUUUCCUUUUUCUUCCCCCUUGAGUGGACAAUGAAGCCAUGCUGUACAAAGGGGGAAUGCUGACAGGACAAUAUCAUGAUGAACAUACAUGUUUGAAUCAUUAUCAACUGAUUCCUCAAAUAUCCAAACCUCAAGGUGACUGAAUUCAUCCUCAUUACGAGCACAAACUAUGACUGCAUCCUUCGGUUUAAUGGUCAUGUCCUCAAGCUCUUCCCAAUCAUCAUCAUCUUUAUCCUUUAAAUAAGGGUCCAUAUCGUUGCUUGGAUAGUAAAGGUCCCAAAGUCCUGUGCUGAAUAGCUCAAUGCCUUCAUCCUCCUCAUCAUAAUGGUCCAUGUCAAGUUCCUUCAAGCCAUCGGUUAUGUCAUCAAAUUUGGUCACUGAGUUCUUAUUUUUAGUAGUUCUACCAAGUGCAUCUGCUACAGCUAAUGCAUGGGUUACUUCAUUGGUCUGCUUGGCAGUAUCAACAUCCAUAUCUUCAUCGUUUUCCUCACUGCCACUAUCUCCACUUCUCUCUAAAGCACCAGCCUCUAUCAUUUCUUCAAUUUCCUCCUUGCAUGGUGGGUCUGCCACUGCUGGGACAGAUUUUGCAACCUCUUUGGGCACCCAUGAUACUGCCGCUAUCAUUCUUCAGUUCACAGCUACUAAUCUUCUCUCUUCCUGUUCAGUAAUAGAGGGUCAACUUGAAAAUUCCAAACUUUAUUUCAUGAAGCGCUGCUUAGCCUAUAUCAACAAUCACAUUCAUAAGCCAAAAGGAAAGAAACCCACUUUCCGUUUGGUAAUAUAAAGAAAACAGAAAGACUAAAAAGGGAACACAGAUUAAAUAGAGAUAGAUAAAAAGAGGCGUACCAAUGGCGGCGCGCAGUUGCCGGCGGUAAUAACCGUCGGAAUGAAGCAGUGAAGUUACGGAAUUACGGUGGUGAGUGUUGGGCAGUGAGAAGGAUCGGUGGUGAGUGGAGGGAACUUUCCCGGGAGCUAGCGCGCUGCGUGGCAAAGGAGGAAGAAGACCAGAACGGCAGUAGGGAAAAGAGAACACAAGAGCCACUAGGCUUUUGUUU